AGAGUUUGAUCCUGGCUCAGGACGAACGCUGGCGGCAUGCCUAACACAUGCAAGUCGAACGGAGUUUAAUUGACAGAAGCCUUCGGGCAGAAGACGAUUAAACUUAGUGGCGGACGGGUGAGUAACGCGUGGAUAACCUGCCUUAUAGAGGGGGACAACAGUUGGAAACGACUGCUAAUACCGCAUAAGGUCUCGAGACCGCAUGAUCUUGAGAAGAAAGAUGGCCUCUGAAAAUGCUAUCGCUAUAAGAUGGAUCCGCGUCUGAUUAGCUAGUUGGUGAGGUAACGGCUCACCAAGGCAACGAUCAGUAGCCGGCCUGAGAGGGUGAACGGCCACAUUGGGACUGAGACACGGCCCAAACUCCUACGGGAGGCAGCAGUGGGGAAUCUUCCGCAAUGGGCGAAAGCCUGACGGAGCAAUGCCGCGUGAAUGAAGAAGGCCUUCGGGUCGUAAAAUUCUGUCCUUAUUGAAGAGAGGUUCAUGUGUAAACAAUGCAUGAAUAGGACGGUAGAUAAGGAGGAAGCCCCGGCUAACUACGUGCCAGCAGCCGCGGUAAUACGUAGGGGGCGAGCGUUGUCCGGAAUCACUGGGCGUAAAGGGCGCGUAGGCGGCCUAGUAAGUCAGAUGUGAAAAGUGAGGGCUCAACCCUUAGAGUGCAUCUGAUACUGCUAGGCUUGAGUACAGAAGAGGAAAGCGGAAUUCCUAGUGUAGCGGUGAAAUGCGUAGAUAUUAGGAGGAACACCAGUGGCGAAGGCGGCUUUCUGGGCUGAAACUGACGCUGAGGCGCGAAAGCGUGGGGAGCAAACAGGAUUAGAUACCCUGGUAGUCCACGCCGUAAACGAUGGGUACUAGGUGUCGGGGGUAUCGAUACCCUCGGUGCCGGAGUAAACACAAUAAGUACCCCGCCUGGGGAGUACGAUCGCAAGAUUGAAACUCAAAGGAAUUGACGGGGGCCCGCACAAGCGGUGGAGCAUGUGGUUUAAUUCGACGCAACGCGAAGAACCUUACCAAGACUUGACAUCCUGCUGACGGAUUGGGUAAUGCCGAUCGUUCUACUUCGGUAGACAGCAGAGACAGGUGGUGCAUGGUUGUCGUCAGCUCGUGUCGUGAGAUGUUGGGUUAAGUCCCGCAACGAGCGCAACCCUUGUCUUAGUUGCCAGCAUUAAGUUGGGCACUCUAAAGAGACUGCCGGUGACAAACCGGAGGAAGGUGGGGAUGACGUCAAAUCAUCAUGCCCCUUAUGUCUUGGGCUACACACGUGCUACAAUGGUCGGUACAAAGGGCAGCGAGACCGCGAGGUGGAGCGAAUCCCAAAAAGCCGAUCCCAGUUCGGAUUGCAGGCUGCAACCCGCCUGCAUGAAGUCGGAAUCGCUAGUAAUCGCAGGUCAGCAUACUGCGGUGAAUACGUUCCCGGGCCUUGUACACACCGCCCGUCACACCACGAAAGUUGGUAACACCCGAAGCCGGUGGUCUAACCGCAAGGAGGAAGCUGUCGAAGGUGGGACUAAUGAUUGGGGUGAAGUCGUAACAAGGUA
RNAcentral lists this ribosomal RNA (1535 nucleotides) under metagenome. RNAcentral describes it as "bacterial SSU rRNA". It matches the Rfam family "Bacterial small subunit ribosomal RNA". The record is from RNAcentral.